GCUUUCAUUAAUCUUCCUUCAGCCUACCUUCCAUGCUUGCUUCUGACCGAGGAGGAGGAGGGGAUGUAUGUUAUAUGAAUACAGGAUAUACUUUACUUUGUUUCACAAGCAGUUCUCCGUGGAAAAAGUUACUGGAUUCCAGUGUUUAUGAAACUCGGUGCUUGAGAACUGAUCAACAUAGAUGGAUGACUAAUAAGUGAGGUUGAUAUUUGGAGAAGAAACACUAAACUGGGAGCUGGAUGGGAGACGAAGACUUAAGGACCUGUAUUCCAUAUUGCUAGAUGAGGACAGAAGAAUAUUCUUUAGAAACCAAACUAACAUGGCAAGUUUAACAUUCUUUUAGAAAAAUUGUGACCUUUCCAGGAUGUUCCAUUGAUGGACAUCCAGGUGGGUACCUUUUUUUUUUUUUCAGGUGGUUACCUUCACUACCAUAUGACACUAAUUCUCAAGAUGGUUUGCAGACAAUAACCAGAAUUUUUCUCAGGAAGAGUUUUUGGUCAACAUAAACAAAUAUACCUUUGAAAUUCCAAUG
Molecule: long non-coding RNA, 532 nt
Filed under: Vulpes vulpes (red fox)
Lineage: Eukaryota; Metazoa; Chordata; Mammalia; Carnivora; Canidae
Description: lncRNA (ENSVVUG00000026329.1)
Source: RNAcentral